UACAGAGGGUGCGAGCGUUGUCCGGAAUCACUGGGCGUAAAGGGCGCGUAGGCGGUCCGCUAAGUGUGUGGUGAAAGCUCGGGGCUCAACCCCGAGUCGGCCGUGCAAACUGGUGGACUUGAGCAUGUCAGAGGCAGGCAGAAUUCCGGGUGUAGCGGUGGAAUGCGUAGAGAUCCGGAGGAAGACCGGUGGCGAAGGCGGCCUGCUGGGCAGUUACUGACACUGAGGCGCGACAGCGUGGGGAGCAAACAGGAUAGAAACCCCAGUA
RNAcentral lists this ribosomal RNA (268 nucleotides) under uncultured bacterium. RNAcentral's name for it is "partial 16S ribosomal RNA". It matches the Rfam family "Bacterial small subunit ribosomal RNA", at positions 524 to 792 of the family's 1533-position model. The record is from RNAcentral.